RNAcentral lists this ribosomal RNA (591 nucleotides) under Endoconidiophora pinicola. RNAcentral describes it as "eukaryotic LSU rRNA". The stretch from base 215 to 368 matches the Rfam family "5.8S ribosomal RNA". Lineage: Eukaryota; Fungi; Ascomycota; Sordariomycetes; Microascales; Ceratocystidaceae. The record is from RNAcentral.
GAGGAAGUAAAAGUCGUAACAAGGUCUCCGUUGGUGAACCAGCGGAGGGAUCAUUACUGAGUUUUUAACUCUUAAACCAUAUGUGAACAUACCUUUUUAGCUGCUUUGGCAGGCUUGGUAAAAACAAGUCUGCCGGUAGUAUUUAAAAAAAACUCUUUAAUAUUUCUAGAGAAUUUAUUUUCAUUGCUGAGUGGCAUUAAACAUAAUAAGUUAAAACUUUCAACAACGGAUCUCUUGGCUCUAGCAUCGAUGAAGAACGCAGCGAAAUGCGAUACGUAAUGUGAAUUGCAGAAUUCAGUGAAUCAUCGAAUCUUUGAACGCACAUUGCGCCUGGCAGUAUUCUGCCAGGCAUGCCUGUCCGAGCGUCAUUUCACCACUCAAGCUCUGCUUGGUGUUGGAGGACCCGCAUCUUUUUGCGGGCCGCCGAAAUGCAUCGGCUGUUAUAUUUGCAGCUUCCCUGUGUAGUAAUAUUUAUUUUACGCUUUGAAACUCUUUUACAACAUGCCGUAAAAACCCCAAUUAAAUUAAUUUUUAAUUUUUGAAAGGUUGACCUCGGAUCAGGUAGGAAUACCCGCUGAACUUAAGCAUAUC